This 497-nucleotide ribosomal RNA is filed under the name uncultured bacterium. Its description in RNAcentral is "partial 16S ribosomal RNA". It matches the Rfam family "Bacterial small subunit ribosomal RNA", at positions 28 to 507 of the family's 1533-position model. The record is from RNAcentral.
GAUGAACGCUGGCGGCGUGCCUAAUACAUGCAAGUAGAACGCUGAAGGAAGGAGCUUGCUCUUUCCGGAUGAGUUGCGAACGGGUGAGUAACGCGUAGGUAACCUGCCUGGUAGCGGGGGAUAACUAUUGGAAACGAUAGCUAAUACCGCAUAACAGUAGAUGUUGCAUGAUAUCUAUUUAAAAGGUGCAAUUGCACCACUACCAGAUGGACCUGCGUUGUAUUAGCUAGUUGGUGAGGUAACGGCUCACCAAGGCGACGAUACAUAGCCGACCUGAGAGGGUGAACGGCCACCCUGAGAAUGGGACACGGCCCAGAGUCCAACGGGGGGGAGCAGUAGGGAUUCUUCGGGAAGGGACGGGAAGCAGGCCGAGAAGCGCCGAGUGAGGGAGAAAGAAUCUCGGAUCGUAAAGCUCGGUUGUAAGGGGAGAACGAGUGUGAAAGUGGAAAGUUCACACUGUGACGGUAUCUGAUCAGAAAGAGACGGCUAACUACGUG